Long non-coding RNA from Oreochromis aureus, 429 nucleotides. Lineage: Eukaryota; Metazoa; Chordata; Actinopteri; Cichliformes; Cichlidae. The record is from Ensembl.
CUGCUGCCAGACGUCUGCCUUUGAACGCGUCCCUGCAUCGCGCACAACACCAAGGUUGCCAUGGCAAUCACAGCUAACAGGGACAACGUGCACAGCUGGAACCCUGCAGGUGAUGGAGAGCUCAGAUGAUGACCCCGCCUACGUGGUCAAAUUCAAGUCUACAUUCAGACCAGACCUGGAGACACGCAAACAAAAUGCCAACAUUGUAUAUGUGAAAGCUGCUGCUGCACUGGAGCCAGAUUCAAGGAGCUCAGGUGUUUACCCAGAUCUUACUGAACUUACUGAAGGAACAGAGGGUUGUUGGAGGGAAACCUGUGGAAGCAACAACAUCCGAGCCACCAGAGAAAAAGUUGGUCCUAUUGGUGCUUCAUCAGAGUGUGAACAGGAGGAAGACUCAGCUGAGAACAGUGUGGUGGAUACAGAGCAGAG